CCUCCGGGUGGCUGCAGUGGGGAAUAUUGGACAAUGGGGGGAACCCUGAUCCAGCCAUGCCGCGUGUGUGAAGAAGGCCCUCGGGUUGUAAAGCACUUUCAGUGAGGAAGAACGCCUGGUGGUUAAUACCCAUCAGGAAAGACAUCACUCACAGAAGAAGCACCGGCUAACUCCGUGCCAGCAGCCGCGGUAAUACGGAGGGUGCGAGCGUUAAUCGGAAUUACUGGGCGUAAAGCGCGCGUAGGUGGCUUGAUAAGCCGGUUGUGAAAGCCCCGGGCUCAACCUGGGAACGGCAUCCGGAACUGUCAAGCUAGAGUGCAGGAGAGGAAGGUAGAAUUCCCGGUGUAGCGGUGAAAUGCGUAGAGAUCGGGAGGAAUACCAGUGGCGAAGGCGGCCUUCUGGACUGACACUGACACUGAGGUGCGAAAGCGUGGGUAGCAAACAGGAUUAGAUACCCUUGUAGUC
This 465-nucleotide ribosomal RNA is filed under the name Vreelandella stevensii. Its description in RNAcentral is "partial 16S ribosomal RNA". It matches the Rfam family "Bacterial small subunit ribosomal RNA", at positions 338 to 795 of the family's 1533-position model. The record is from RNAcentral. Lineage: Bacteria; Pseudomonadati; Pseudomonadota; Gammaproteobacteria; Oceanospirillales; Halomonadaceae.